RNAcentral lists this unclassified non-coding RNA (408 nucleotides) under soil metagenome. RNAcentral describes it as "partial contains 5.8S ribosomal RNA, internal transcribed spacer 2, and large subunit ribosomal RNA". The stretch from base 1 to 119 matches the Rfam family "5.8S ribosomal RNA", at positions 35 to 154 of the family's 154-position model. The record is from RNAcentral.
GAUGAAGAACGUAGCGAAUUGCGAUAAGUAAUGUGAAUUGCAGAAUUCAGUGAUCAUCGAAUCUUUGAACGCAUCUUGCGCUCUUUGGUAUUCCGAAGAGCAUGCCUGUUUGAGUGUCAUGAAACUCUCACCUCCAAUCUUUUUUAACUAGAAGGUUGGGGCGUGGACGUGAGUGCUGCUGGUGCCCUGGUUGCAUCGGCUCACUUGAAAUUCAUUAGCUGAAUCCUUUAAAGUAGGUUCUACUCGACGUGAUAAGAUCUCCGUCGAGGACAGUGCUUCGGCAUUGGCCAACGAUAAAGUUGAUACGCUUCUAAUUAGCGCAGACUUCGAGUGCUGGCAAUUUUGACAACUUGGCCUCAAAUCAGGUAGGACUACCCACUGAACUUAAGCAUAUCAAUAAGCGGAGGA